This 253-nucleotide unclassified non-coding RNA is filed under the name uncultured Alphaproteobacteria bacterium. RNAcentral's name for it is "contains 16S-23S intergenic spacer region". It matches the Rfam family "Bacterial small subunit ribosomal RNA", at positions 524 to 776 of the family's 1533-position model. The record is from RNAcentral. Lineage: Bacteria; Pseudomonadati; Pseudomonadota; Alphaproteobacteria.
UACGAAUGGGGCAAGCGUUGUUCGGAAUCACUGGGCUUAAAGCGUGCGCAGGCGGCCAUGCAAGUCAGAAGUGAAAUCCCGGGGCUCAACCCCGGAAUUGCUUUUGAAACUGCAUGGCUAGAAUACCGGAGAGGUUGGGAGAAUUCCUAGUGUAGAGGUGAAAUUCGCAGAUAUUAGGAGGAAUACCAGUGGCGUAGGCGCCCAACUGGACGGUUAUUGACGCUCAGGCACGAAAGCAUGGGGAGCAAACAGG